Molecule: long non-coding RNA, 346 nt
Organism: Gossypium arboreum
Lineage: Eukaryota; Viridiplantae; Streptophyta; Magnoliopsida; Malvales; Malvaceae
Exons: 2
Source: RefSeq, a predicted model, not a curated record
UCAUGAUAAGAAUUUCAUGUCUUUUGUAUUAAAGAAUUAAAUGGAUGAAAUAUGAAGUUUUAUUAAAAGAAAAAGGGGUGAAAAGAACAAAGUUUUGUCCAUCUUUGUUCAUCAUAGCUGAAAGUUAGAGAAGAGAAAGGAGAGGAGAAAGCUCUUGAGUAUUUGGUCAUUAGGAGGAGGAAAAUUGAAGGUAAUCCCCAACCAUAGUGGGCUUGGAGCUGUGAGGGAAUUCGGAGUGGCCACCUGUUCUGAAAGUUUGAUUUUCUUCUGGUGAACUGGACAUCCUUUUAUUUACGUUUGAAGUUUUGGGUUUUUAAAUGUGAUAAGGUCGCUUAUUUAUUUUUGA